AAAAAAGGUAAGCUACUAAGAGCGAAUGGUGGAUGCCUUGACUGGUAAAGGCGAUGAAGGACGUACUAGACUGCGAUAAGCUACGGGGAGCUGUCAAGAAGCUUUGAUCCGUAGAUUUCCGAAUGGGGCAACCCAAUGUAUAGAGAUAUACAUUACCUAUAUAGGAGCGAACGAGGGGAAUUGAAACAUCUUAGUACCCUCAGGAAAAGAAAUCAAUAGAGAUUGCGUCAGUAGCGGCGAGCGAAAGCGCAAGAGGGCAAACCCAGUGCUUGCACUGGGGGUUGUAGGACUGCAAUGUGCAAGAGGUAAGUUUAGCAGAACAUUCUGGAAAGUAUAACCAUAGAGGGUGAUAGUCCCGUAUGCGAAAAACAAACCUUAGCUAGCAGUAUCCUGAGUAGGGCGGGACACGAGGAAUCCUGUCUGAAUCCGGGUCGACCACGAUCCAACCCUAAAUACUAAUACCAGAUCGAUAGUGCACAAGUACCGUGAGGGAAAGGUGAAAAGAACUGAGGUGAUCAGAGUGAAAUAGAACCUGAAACCAUUUGCUUACAAUCAUUCAGAGCCCUAUGUAGCAAUACAGGGUGAUGGACUGCCUUUUGCAUAAUGAGCCUGCGAGUUGUGGUGUCUGGCAAGGUUAAGCAAACGCGAAGCCGUAGCGAAAGCGAGUCUGAAUAGGGCGCUUAGUCAGAUGCUGCAGACCCGAAACGAAGUGAUCUAUCCAUGAGCAAGUUGAAGCUAGUGUAAGAACUAGUGGAGGACUGAACCCAUAGGCGUUGAAAAGCCCCGGGAUGACUUGUGGAUAGGGGUGAAAGGCCAAUCAAACUUCGUGAUAGCUGGUUCUCUCCGAAAUAUAUUUAGGUAUAGCGUUGUGUCGUAAUAUAAGGGGGUAGAGCACUGAAUGGGCUAGGGCAUACACCAAUGUACCAAACCCUAUCAAACUCCGAAUACCUUAUAUGUAAUCACAGCAGUCAGGCGGCGAGUGAUAAAAUCCGUCGUCAAGAGGGAAACAACCCAGACUACCAGCUAAGGUCCCUAAAUCUUACUUAAGUGGAAAACGAUGUGAAGUUACUUAAACAACCAGGAGGUUGGCUUAGAAGCAGCCAUCCUUUAAAGAAAGCGUAAUAGCUCACUGGUCUAGUGAUUUUGCGCGGAAAAUAUAACGGGGCUAAAGUAAGUACCGAAGCUGUAGACUUGCACACAACUUAGAUUAUUUAAGUUUAGAAUAUGAGAAACUAAGUUAUAUGUUUAGUUAUAUUUUUACUGAUUUUUAUAGAGUAAAGAUAGAAAUAAAACUUAGUAAAAUCAGUAAAAAUAUUCUUAGACUAAAGUUAAGUAGUUUAAGUUGUGUGCAAGUGGUAGGAGAGCGUUCUAUUUGCGUCGAAGGUAUACCGGUAAGGAGUGCUGGAGCGAAUAGAAGUGAGCAUGCAGGCAUGAG
This 1435-nucleotide ribosomal RNA is filed under the name Campylobacter jejuni. RNAcentral describes it as "partial 23S ribosomal RNA". It matches the Rfam family "Bacterial large subunit ribosomal RNA", at positions 1 to 1306 of the family's 2925-position model. Lineage: Bacteria; Pseudomonadati; Campylobacterota; Epsilonproteobacteria; Campylobacterales; Campylobacteraceae. The record is from RNAcentral.